CAGCGUCGAGCGGCGGUGCGCCACCAGCAGCGUCGUGCGCUGCGCGGUCAGCUCGUGCAGCGUCUCGUGGAUCGCCGCCUCGGUCGCCGU
This 90-nucleotide transfer RNA is filed under the name Pseudonocardia autotrophica. RNAcentral's name for it is "tRNA-Thr". The record is from RNAcentral. Lineage: Bacteria; Bacillati; Actinomycetota; Actinomycetes; Pseudonocardiales; Pseudonocardiaceae.